RNAcentral lists this ribosomal RNA (609 nucleotides) under uncultured bacterium. RNAcentral describes it as "bacterial SSU rRNA". It matches the Rfam family "Bacterial small subunit ribosomal RNA", at positions 100 to 707 of the family's 1533-position model. The record is from RNAcentral.
GCACGGGUGGCGUAACACGUAUGUAACCUACCCUUACCAGGGGGAUAGCCUCUCGAAAGAGAGAUUAAGCCCGCAUAACAUUAAGACACAGCAUUGUGAUUUAAUCAAAUAUUUAUAGGAUAAGGAUGGGCAUGCGGAACAUUAGCUAGUUGGCGGGGUAACGGCCCACCAAGGCGACGAUGUUUAGGGGAUCUGAGAGGAUGGCCCCCCAACUGGUACUGAGACACGGACCAGACUCCUACGGGAGGCAGCAGUAAGGAAUAUUGGUCAAUGGGCGCAAGCCUGAACCAGCCAUGCCGCGUGCAGGAAGACGGCCCUACGGGUUGUAAACUGCUUUUAUACGGGAAUAAACCUACUUACGUGUAAGUAGCUGAAUGUACUGUAAGAAUAAGGAUCGGCUAACUCCGUGCCAGCAGCCGCGGUAAUACGGAGGAUCCAAGCGUUAUCCGGAUUUAUUGGGUUUAAAGGGUGCGUAGGUGGCCUGUUAAGUCAGGGGUGAAAGACGGUAGCUUAACUAUCGCAGUGCCCUUGAUACUGAUGGGCUUGAAUGAACUAGAGGUAGGCGGAAUGUGACAAGUAGCGGUGAAAUGCAUAGAUAUGUCACAGAAC